AGAGUUUGAUCCUGGCUCAGGAUGAACGCUAGCUACAGGCUUAACACAUGCAAGUCGAGGGGAAACGACAUCGAAAGCUUGCUUUUGAUGGGCGUCGACCGGCGCACGGGUGAGUAACACGUAUCCAACCUGCCGAUAACUCGGGGAUAGCCUUUCGAAAGAAAGAUUAAUACCCGAUGGCAUAGUUCUUCCGCAUGGUAGAACUAUUAAAGAAUUUCGGUCAUCGAUGGGGAUGCGUUCCAUUAGGUUGUUGGCGGGGUAACGGCCCACCAAGCCUUCGAUGGAUAGGGGUUCUGAGAGGAAGGUCCCCCACAUUGGAACUGAGACACGGUCCAAACUCCUACGGGAGGCAGCAGUGAGGAAUAUUGGUCAAUGGACGAGAGUCUGAACCAGCCAAGUAGCGUGAAGGAUGACUGCCCUAUGGGUUGUAAACUUCUUUUAUACGGGAAUAAAGUGAGGCACGUGUGCCUUUUUGUAUGUACCGUAUGAAUAAGGAUCGGCUAACUCCGUGCCAGCAGCCGCGGUAAUACGGAGGAUCCGAGCGUUAUCCGGAUUUAUUGGGUUUAAAGGGAGCGUAGGCCGGAGAUUAAGCGUGUUGUGAAAUGUAGACGCUCAACGUCUGCACUGCAGCGCGAACUGGUUUCCUUGAGUACGCACAAAGUGGGCGGAAUUCGUGGUGUAGCGGUGAAAUGCUUAGAUAUCACGAAGAACUCCGAUUGCGAAGGCAGCCUGCUGGACUGUAACUGACGCUGAUGCUCGAAAGUGUGGGUAUCAAACAGGAUUAGAUACCCUGGUAGUCCACGCCGUAAACGAUGAUUACUAGGUGUUGGAGGAUUGACCCCUUCAGUGCCGCAGUUAACACAAUAAGUAAUCCACCUGGGGAGUACGUUCGCAAGAAUGAAAC
Molecule: ribosomal RNA, 904 nt
Filed under: human gut metagenome
Description: bacterial SSU rRNA
Rfam family: Bacterial small subunit ribosomal RNA
Source: RNAcentral